RNAcentral lists this ribosomal RNA (368 nucleotides) under uncultured organism. RNAcentral describes it as "bacterial SSU rRNA". It matches the Rfam family "Bacterial small subunit ribosomal RNA", at positions 526 to 896 of the family's 1533-position model. The record is from RNAcentral.
CGGAGGGUGCAAGCGUUAUCCGGAUUCACUGGGUUUAAAGGGUGCGUAGGUGGGCAGGUAAGUCAGUGGUGAAAUCUCCGGGCUUAACUCGGAAACUGCCAUUGAUACUAUCUGUCUUGAAUACCGUGGAGGUCAGCGGAAUAUGUCAUGUAGCGGUGAAAUGCUUAGAUAUGACAUAGAACACCUAUUGCGAAGGCAGCUGGCUACACGAAUAUUGACACUGAUGCACGAAAGCGUGGGGAUCAAACAGGAUUAGAUACCCUGGUAGUCCACGCCCUAAACGAUGGAUACUCGACAUACGCGAUACACUGUGUGUGUCUGAGCGAAAGCAUUAAGUAUCCCACCUGGGAAGUACGAUCGCAAGAUUG